Molecule: ribosomal RNA, 496 nt
Filed under: uncultured bacterium
Lineage: Bacteria
Description: partial 16S ribosomal RNA
Rfam family: Bacterial small subunit ribosomal RNA
Source: RNAcentral
GAUGAACGCUGGCGGCGUGCCUAAUACAUGCAAGUCGAGCGAACAGACGAGGAGCUUGCUCCUCUGACGUUAGCGGCGGACGGGUGAGUAACACGUGGAUAACCUACCUAUAAGACUGGGAUAACUUCGGGAAACCGGAGCUAAUACCGGAUAAUAUAUUGAACCGCAUGGUUCAAUAGUGAAAGACGGUUUUGCUGUCACUUAUAGAUGGAUCCGCGCCGCAUUAGCUAGUUGGUAAGGUAACGGCUUACCAAGGCAACGAUGCGUAGCCGACCUGAGAGGGUGAUCGGCCACACUGGAACUGAGACACGUCCAGACUCCUACGGGAGGCAGCAGUAGGGAAUCUUCCGCAAAGGGCGAAAGCCUGACGGAGCAACGCCGCGUGAGUGAUGAAGGUCUUCGGAUCGUAAAACUCUGUUAUUAGGGAAGAACAAAUGUGUAAGUAACUAUGCACGUCUUGACGGUACCUAAUCAGAAAGCCACGGCUAACUACGUG